UUAGCUUGCCGUGGAUAACAAGGAUAGUGUAUUAAUCUAGAAAGACUUCAAAAACAUAUUAGCCUGUCUGGCAAAGCAAAACAAAAGGCAGAAACACUUCUUCAGCCUGAAUGUUUUAACGCCACAAUUUUUGUGACAGGAUCCACACAAGAACCCUGCAGUUUAGCUCUCCCCUCAAACAGUAAACCGCCCGCCUUCUCCUCACAGGUUGAAAAUGCGCCUUGCCUGACAACGAAUCCAGAAAGCUACGUGCAUUUUAUGCCACUUGCAGUGUCUGCAAAGUGUGGCUCGUAGCAUGUUUCUUAUUCAGUCAGUGCCAAAAGCAUAUUUAAUCAAUGUCACAGCUAGCUAUGGUAACACAAGUAAAGCCAUUGUCAUUCCUCAGCACGGAUGCAACUGACUGCUAAGUUAUGCAAUGCUCAGAGAUCUCUGGAAUGAAAGGGUUUGCUACAGAAUUAUUACAUGAAGGUGCAGCACACUGGGUAGCAUUCUCUGGCUAUAAACUUCAGUUUCUUUUUCUUGAGCUGGACAGCAGUGACACUGUGUAAAUAAAUUACUUUUAUUCUUCCCUUCUUCUUUCCACCCUUCCCCCAAAUAUAUUCUGCUCGGAGGCACAGCACGCAACCCGGAACAAGAGGCUGAGUACUGCAAAGAUGCAUGUUGGUCACAGGGUUCAACUGGAGGCAAACUCUUCAAAAGACUGCUAAUUGUACACCUCGGAGAGGGGUUGGGACCAGAGAGACAGCUGCUUUCUCGAAGAGAAGACUGGGGGGGGGGGGGGUGUUCUACCAGCAGUGAAUGAAAACAAUUAUCUAUCGAAGGUGAAAGAAGCUCUUGCUUAAGGAGGGAGAAGAACUGUACCAAAGAAUCAAUAUUGGAAGAGGUCAUCUUUUCCACAAAGGAUUAUUGAUGUCUAGACCUGUGUUUUGAACCUUUAAAACCAUUUUUCUUUUCUCUGGGACUGCUGAGCUAUCCUGUUUUUACCUCCCUCCCCAUUAUGGAACAGCAGCUCUCUCCAUGAAGAUACAAAGCUGCUACACAUCCUUAUUCGGGGACUCAGAAGCAUGCUUGAUGUCAUUUUAUUCCUGAUGCGGUGUAGGAUAACUACCAGGGUCCUGGUUAUUUGCUACAAAAUGGGCACUACUGUCAUAACCAUAGAAGACGUAAAACAACUCGAGGAGAAAGAAGAAAAAGAGGAAUCAAUAUUGGCUAUGCUGGGGAUUGUUGGGACGAUUCUGAACCUCUUUGUGAUCGUGUUUGUGUACAUCCACACCACUCUAUGAAGAGCUGCCAAGGCGACCAGCCAGCCCAGGCACAAAGGGGUUAGCAGUGUUGCCUUCACCAGAACAAACAGCCUCUCAACAAAAGGGAGAGUGUCUGCUUGUUAUCCAGACCAUUCGCUGGCUCACCAGGGAAGCUGCUGUGAGUACCAUGGGAAUACCAACAAAGGUCCAGAUCAGACAAUUAUUUUGCAUUCUGCUAUUGUUCAAACUUGGAGAAAAUAUUCUACUUGCCACUGCUUGGGAACAGACUAUAAGCUGCAGAAAUACAAUGUUCAAAUGACUGUUAAGGGAUCAGCUGGAAAUGGAUUGUACCUGUAGACACAGAGAUGCCGCCCUUAAAUGGAAUGAGAUUUUUGUAAAUGCUAGUAAGUAAAGAUUGUUACUGUGACUGGGAUAUAUAUAUAUAUUUAUUUUUGUUAGGGAGUUAUCAAUGCGGAUACACAUGGAUAAGAAUGCAAAGCAUAUGAGACCGCAGGGGUAGACAAUGAAAAACAACAAGAUUUGUACUGAUUGUGAAAUGUUCUGUCCAAUGACAUGUCAGAAUGUCCACUUUGAGGACUUGUAUUUAAAUACCAAGCAAUUUAUAGUAUUUCCAAGAAUACCAUAUUUUUGACAUGCCGCUGGUCGAUUAUGUAUUUCUUAAACUACAAGAUGGAUUUUGGCAAGUACGACUUUCCUGUCUUUCCUGUCAGAAGAAGAAACUAAAGCCUUAAAUUUUAUGAAAAGCUUUCUGGGGUAGGGCCAGCUGCAGAGUAUGUAUUUUCUGCAUUAGAAUCACAUAUAAAAAUAAAUAAACAAAUAAAAAAAUAAAAAAAUAAAUAAAUAAAAAUAAAAAAGGAAUACAAUUAUUUCAUUUAAAAUUCUUGGGGGUUGGGAAAGUCAAAAAGAUGUGAAAACUACAAAAACAGAGUUGCCGAUUUUCAAUUAAUGUAAAACUUUGGGUUCACUUUUAAUUAUUAUUAUUAUUAUU
This is a long non-coding RNA of Acipenser ruthenus (sterlet), 2253 nucleotides long. RefSeq lists it as uncharacterized. NCBI's taxonomy places the organism in Eukaryota, Metazoa, Chordata, Actinopteri, Acipenseriformes, Acipenseridae. The transcript is spliced from 2 exons. The record is from RefSeq and is a predicted model, not a curated record.